GACGAACGCUGGCGGCGUGCUUAACACAUGCAAGUCGAGCGGUAAGGCCCUUUCGGGGGUACACGAGCGGCGAACGGGUGAGUAACACGUGGGUGACCUGCCCUUAGCUCUGGGAUAAGCCUGGGAAACUGGGUCUAAUACCGGAUAUGACUCCAUGACGCAUGUUGUGGGGUGGAAAGCCUUGUGCGGCUAGGGAUGGGCCCGCGGCCUAUCAGCUUGUUGGUGGGGUGAUGGCCUACCAAGGCGACGACGGGUAGCCGGCCUGAGAGGGCGACCGGCCACACUGGGGACUGAGAUACGGCCCAGACUCCUACCGGGAGGCAGCAGUGGGGAAGUCUUGCGCAAUGGGCGAAAGCCUGACGCAGCGACGCCGCGUGAGGGAUGACGGCCUCGG
This 394-nucleotide ribosomal RNA is filed under the name uncultured bacterium. Its description in RNAcentral is "bacterial SSU rRNA". It matches the Rfam family "Bacterial small subunit ribosomal RNA", at positions 28 to 420 of the family's 1533-position model. The record is from RNAcentral.